This 382-nucleotide ribosomal RNA is filed under the name uncultured Pseudomonas sp. RNAcentral describes it as "bacterial SSU rRNA". It matches the Rfam family "Bacterial small subunit ribosomal RNA", at positions 1002 to 1382 of the family's 1533-position model. The record is from RNAcentral. Lineage: Bacteria; Pseudomonadati; Pseudomonadota; Gammaproteobacteria; Pseudomonadales; Pseudomonadaceae.
AGAGAUGGAUUGGUGCCUUCGGGAACUCUGACACAGGUGCUGCAUGGCUGUCGUCAGCUCGUGUCGUGAGAUGUUGGGUUAAGUCCCGUAACGAGCGCAACCCUUGUCCUUAGUUACCAGCACGUUAUGGUGGGCGACUCUAAGGAGACUGCCGGUGCAAACCGGAGGAAGGUGGGGAUGACGUCAAGCCAUCAUGGCCCUUACGGCCUGGGCUACACACGUGCUACAAUGGUCGGUACAAAGGGUUGCCAAGCCGCGGAGGUGGAGCUAAUCCCAUAAAACCGAUCGUAGUCCGGAUCGCAGUCUGCAACUCGACUGCGUGAAGUCGGAAUCGCUAGUAAUCGUGAAUCAGAAUGUCACGGUGAAUACGUUCCCGGGCCUU